Prunus avium (sweet cherry) is the source of this 847-nucleotide long non-coding RNA. RefSeq lists it as uncharacterized. The record is from RefSeq and is a predicted model, not a curated record. Lineage: Eukaryota; Viridiplantae; Streptophyta; Magnoliopsida; Rosales; Rosaceae.
CCCAGCACGACCGACACAACAUCGACAUUCGCUACUGGUGCGUCGGGUUCACAACCAACCAAGAAGAACACCCGAGGACCUUGUCGCCAGUUGAAGACGACAAAGGUCACCCGGGUGACCAAGUGAUAUGACGAGCGGCAUUGGGCUGCACCAACGGCGGACCAGCAUAGCUCAUUGGCCCACGACAUUGGUCGCAUCGUUCGGACCCAUUGCCUGAUGAAAUGGAAGUCUUGAAAGGUCAUGCCUGACGAGAUGAGGACGGAGGUGCGCAGACAGUUGUCGACGAACUACAAUUUAGAGGAUCUCGACGACGAGUCGUUGGCGUACAUCAACAGACUCUUUGCAGAGAGGUACAAGCAGUGGAAGAGCGACCUGCACCACCAUUUUUAGGCAUUUGAUGAUCCGUAGGUCGCUCUUCAGAAGGGUUGCCCGAAGGACCUUGAGGGGCGGGAGGAUAGUUAGGUGUGGCUCUGCGGUCAUUUUUAGGAGCUCGAUUAUGUGAAGAAGGCGAAAGCAAAUAAGGGCAAUAGGGAAAAGAAGACUCUUCUCCACCAUUCAAGUUCCAAGCCCUUCUCAUAUAGGAUGGAGGCCCGGCAGCGGGUAAUAAUAAAGUCGUUUAUAUUCAAUUUUUAAUAUGUCAUUAAUAUUAAUUUUUUUUUUUCGUACUAACAUUUUAAUAUGUCCCUCGUCGACCUCCGAGCCCCUCCAACUCGAGCAUGGCCACCACACCUCUGCCCCUGUCGAUAAUGUCCAGACCUUCGAGCCGCAUUUGCAAGACGACCACGUAGAUUUUGGAACAUUUUUUAAUUAGUUUUUUACUUUCUUAAUUACAUUUUAAACAUUUCUC